AGAAUCUAGAAAUAGUUUUGCCUUAGUC
RNAcentral lists this small RNA (28 nucleotides) under Bombyx mori (domestic silkworm). RNAcentral describes it as "ovarian small RNA-11795". The record is from RNAcentral. Lineage: Eukaryota; Metazoa; Arthropoda; Insecta; Lepidoptera; Bombycidae.